Molecule: long non-coding RNA, 2464 nt
Organism: Diospyros lotus (date-plum)
Lineage: Eukaryota; Viridiplantae; Streptophyta; Magnoliopsida; Ericales; Ebenaceae
Exons: 2
Source: RefSeq, a predicted model, not a curated record
GACGGGCCUUCAUAAAAUCUACACUUGAUAUGAGCCCGCCGUUUGGGAAUAUCAGAAUUUCCUGUAUUUGUUUGCGUUAAAAUUCAUUAAAUCUACACUUGAUAGGAGUCAAAAUUCGCAUUUGUUUGCGUUAAUCAUUGAGAGAGUGGAAGGUCUCUGCACCAGUCGUUCUCUCUCUCUCUUUAGCAACAUUGCGUACACCGAAAGCCUGAUUCAUCUUCUAGCUUUGAAUUUUCGCCGAACAGAGUCUGAUAAGGCUGUGUUUGGGGGUGAAUUCUUGGAAAGAAAAAUCAGGCAGCGGCCAGACAACCGUAGGGAUGAGGCUUCCACAGACGACAGAUUUCUUCAUUUUGUUCGUCUACUAAUCCCAUCUCACAUUAAUUAACAAAUUACAAAUGUUCCCGCAUGGGUGUCCACGUUGGAACAUGAUGACCACAGCGACAGCUUUGGGCGAGCGAGUCUUGCUGCUACUAGAUCAUGUGAUUGCAAGCAUUGCACAACUGGACAGGACAGAGGGGUGUCUAAUUGUUGCAAAAUUAGGCAAUUGACAGGUACAAUGGGUCAAAAUCUUUAGGGUGUCACAAAGUCAAAUUGAUCAAAUUCAAGGGCAUUUUUAUGUUUUAUGCCAAAUAAAUUCUGAGAUCACAAUAAAAACCUACAUAAAUCUCAUGUUCACAAUCAAUAAAUAAGAGAAGAUCACGAACAUACAACAUUUUAAUAAAAGAACAUCAUAAACAUUCAACAAAUUUAACGUCUCAAACAUGUCUAACAAAGCCACAUAGACCUCCAAGUGUUCCAAUAUUACAUGCAAACAAAACAUAGUUAUUGUGUACAAUAUACAUCUAACUAAAACAUAGCCAAUAUGAAAUAGAAGAAUACAAGAUGCAUAUAUGUUGCACAAAAAUAAAAAUAAGAAAUGUUUUUUUAUAUGAAAUGGAAAUGUGAAAAUUGACAUUUUAAAAAAAAAGUAUAAAUAGCAUCCAAAAUAGAAAUAAAAAAUAUUUUAAAAAUGAAGAAAUGGCUCCUUUGAGUUGUUUUUGUACAACAUAGCUAAUAACCAAGUGCAAAGAAGUGAAGACCUGAGCCCCGCAGGGUUGUCCCAGCAGUCAGUUGGGGGGAGAUGGGCUAACUUGGAUAUUUAGGUUCGAAUUCUCUCCUAACCUAAUUGUUGGUGGAUCAUACUCCAGUUAAGUUUUUCGUCACAAAAAGAGAUUGACGGGACGAAAAGAGAUUGGCGGGACGUCCGUGAGGGAUGUCAUCUCAAGAAACGAAGACCUGAAGGCUUUUGGUCCAUUUCUGUAAAGUAGGAGCAGGCAGGGGGUCUUGUUGCACUAGCGCCUUCCGUGGUGAGACUUCCGGCGAUUGUUUGGGAAUUAUAAGCUGCCAUGAUUAUCAUCGAAGGGGAUGUGCUAUUUGUACAGAAAAAUUCUUAUAGAAUCAUAUACAAGCAUGAGAUAUCGCGAGAAAUUAGAAAUAUUUCAAGUGUAAAAGUAAAAUAAUUUAUUGUGAUAUCUCGUCUUUGGUGAAUUUGAUCUGAAAAGAGAGGGAGAGAAUGAACAAUUCAAAAGAUUGAAAAAAUUCCCCGGUGUGUUAGAUAAAUGUUGAAGAAAUUUAGCUCAUUAUUUUUAAUAAAAUAAGAAAGGGUUAUCUUGACUAUGGUCACAACAAUUUGCGGUGGUGGUUCUGGCGGAAGGAGGGUCAAAUUAGUGGAGAUGGUGGUGGUGGUUCUGGCGGAAGGAGGGUCAAAUUAGUGGAGAUGGUGGUUGUUCGUACGUGGUGGAGAUCGGCAAAGGAUGGCGGUUUGCGGUGGUAACAACGAAGAAGAUGGUGGGUAAAAUCGAUGGUUGGAAAUGAUGGGUGUUCGCAUUGAUUUGUGGUGGAGAUUAGUGCAUGGAGAGGGUGAUUUGCGAUGGUUCCGAUGGAAGGAAGGAAGGUCAAAUCAGUGGAGAUGGUGGUUGUUGGUAAUGGCGGUGGAGAUCAGAAUAGCGGAUGUCGACGACAGAGAGAUAAGAAAAUGAAAAAUGCUAUUGGUACAUCCAUUUUGUACAUCUUAGACUACAUAAAGGGGUAUCAUGACAAAAAAAUUUCUCAUGAAAUGCAUAGAGGCGCGUGAGGUGCAGAAUAUUUUGGUCAUAAUACUCUCUUAUGUAGUCUAAAAUAUACAAAAUGAAUGUAUAUCUAGCAUGAUUUUAAAAAAAUUAAAAAUCACGGCAAAGGAAUAAGAUGAUGGAAGAGGAAAUGGCAAAUGGGAGGUGUUGGCUCUUGACUUGAUAACAGUGUCUGCAAGAGAGAGACAGAGGGAGAGAGAGGGAGAGAGUUUGAGUCAUUUGGGUUUGGGUCAUUUAUGAAAAGGAUAAAUUAAUCAUUUUAAUAUCCUGUAAAGCAUUCUGUAAAUUCUUUUCUGUACAAAUAGCAUAACUAUCAAUAGGAUGACUCAUCAUCGAAGAUUGAUGUUUUGAUCUCU